This 554-nucleotide ribosomal RNA is filed under the name uncultured bacterium. RNAcentral's name for it is "partial 16S ribosomal RNA". It matches the Rfam family "Bacterial small subunit ribosomal RNA", at positions 355 to 900 of the family's 1533-position model. The record is from RNAcentral.
UAGGGAAUCUUCCACAAUGGACGCAAGUCUGAUGGAGCAACGCCGCGUGAGUGAAGAAGGCUUUCGGGUCGUAAAACUCUGUUAUUGAAGAAGAACGUGUGUGACAGUAACUGGUCAUGCAGUGACGGUAUUCAAUCAGAAAGUCACGGCUAACUACGUGCCAGCAGCCGCGGUAAUACGUAGGUGGCAAGCGUUGUCCGGAUUUAUUGGGCGUAAAGCGAGUGCAGGCGGUCUUUUAAGUCUGAUGUGAAAGCCUUCGGCUUAACCGAAGAAGGGCAUCGGAAACUGGGAGACUUGAGUGCAGAAGAGGAGAGUGGAACUCCAUGUGUAGCGGUGAAAUGCGUAGAUAUAUGGAAGAACACCAGUGGCGAAGGCGGCUCUCUGGUCUGUAACUGACGCUGAGGCUCGAAAGCGUGGGUAGCAAACAGGAUUAGAUACCCUGGUAGUCCACGCCGUAAGCGAUGAAUACUAAGUGUUGGAGGGUUUCCGCCCUUCAGUGCUGCAGCUAACGCAUUAAGUAUUCCGCCUGGGGAGUACGACCGCAAGGUUGAAAC